UCGGGAAUUUUGGGCAAUGGGCGAAAGCCUGACCCAGCAACGCCGCGUGAAGGAUGAAGUAUUUCGGUAUGUAAACUUCGUAAGAAUAGGAAGAAUAAAUGACGGUACUAUUUGUAAGGUCCGGCUAACUACGUGCCAGCAGCCGCGGUAAUACGUAGGGACCAAGCGUUGUUCGGAUUUACUGGGCGUAAAGGGCGCGUAGGCGGCGUGGUAAGUCAUCUGUGAAAUCUCCGAGCUUAACUCGGAACGGUCAGAUGAUACUGCUGUGCUAGAGUACAGAAGGGGCAAUCGGAAUUCUUGGUGUAGCGGUGAAAUGCGUAGAUAUCAAGAGGAACACCUGAGGUGAAGACGGGUUGCUGGGCUGAUACUGACGCUGAGGCGCGAAAGCUAGGGUAGCAAACGGGAUUAGAUACCCUUGUAGUCCCUGAGCGGGCUGGCAAGGCGCAU
Molecule: ribosomal RNA, 447 nt
Filed under: uncultured bacterium
Lineage: Bacteria
Description: bacterial SSU rRNA
Rfam family: Bacterial small subunit ribosomal RNA
Source: RNAcentral